RNAcentral lists this transfer RNA (66 nucleotides) under Callorhinchus milii (elephant shark). RNAcentral describes it as "tRNA-Und (NNN) (tRNA-Und-NNN-5-1)". It matches the Rfam family "tRNA". Rfam says of the family: Transfer RNA (tRNA) molecules are approximately 80 nucleotides in length. Their secondary structure includes four short double-helical elements and three loops (D, anti-codon, and T loops). The record is from Rfam by way of RNAcentral. Lineage: Eukaryota; Metazoa; Chordata; Chondrichthyes; Chimaeriformes; Callorhinchidae.
GUAGUCGUGGCCGAGUGGUUAAGGCGAUGGAAACUUCCCGCGCAGGUUCGAAUCCUGCCGACUACG